Molecule: unclassified non-coding RNA, 152 nt
Filed under: Pseudodictyosporium elegans
Lineage: Eukaryota; Fungi; Ascomycota; Dothideomycetes; Pleosporales; Dictyosporiaceae
Also listed under: 1 other name
Description: partial internal transcribed spacer 2
Source: RNAcentral
CUCCCUUCAAGCACCGCUUGGUGAUGGGUGUUUGUCCGUGUCAUCUGCGCGGACUCGCCCCAAUAACAUUGGCAGCAGGCCGCCGGUCUCUCGCGCAGCACUUUGCGCUUCUCGAGGCCGUGGCGAGCCGGCGUCCAUCAAGAUCUCCCCCA